RNAcentral lists this ribosomal RNA (429 nucleotides) under uncultured archaeon. RNAcentral's name for it is "bacterial SSU rRNA". It matches the Rfam family "Archaeal small subunit ribosomal RNA", at positions 424 to 853 of the family's 1478-position model. The record is from RNAcentral.
AAGCAGGGGAAGUAAGGGCUGGGUAAGACGGGUGCCAGCCGCCGCGGUAAUACCCGCAGCCCGAGUGGUGGUCGAUAUUAUUGAGCUUAAAGCGUCCGUAGCCUGUCUGGUAAAUUCUUGGGUAAAUCGUGCAGCUUAACUGUCCGAAUUCCGGGGAGACUGCCAGACUUGGGACCGGGAGAGGUUGGAGGUACUCCUGGGGUAGGGGUAAAAUCCCGUAAUCCUGGGAGGACCACCAGUGGCGAAGGCGUCCAACUGGAACGGAUCCGACGGUCAGGGACGAAGCCCUGGGUCGCGAACUGGAUUAGAUACCCAGGUAGUCCAGGGUGUAAACGCUGCAGACUUGGUGUCGGAGGUCCUACGAGGGCGUCCGGUGCCGGAGAGAAAUUGUUAAGUCUGCCGCUUGGGGAGUACGUCCGCAAGGAUGAA